This 253-nucleotide ribosomal RNA is filed under the name uncultured bacterium. Its description in RNAcentral is "partial 16S ribosomal RNA". It matches the Rfam family "Bacterial small subunit ribosomal RNA", at positions 524 to 776 of the family's 1533-position model. RNAcentral also lists the same sequence under 1 other name. The record is from RNAcentral.
UACGUAGGGGGCAAGCGUUGUCCGGAUUUAUUGGGCGUAAAGAGCGUGUAGGCGGCCAGGGAGGUCCGUUGUGAAAACUCGAGGCUCAACCUCGAGACGCCGAUGGAAACCCCCUGGCUAGAGUCCGGAAGAGGAGAGUGGAAUUCCUGGUGUAGCGGUGAAAUGCGCAGAUAUCAGGAAGAACACCCGUGGCUAAGGCGGCUCUCUAGUACGGUACUGACGCUGAGACGCGAAAGCGUGGGGAGCGAACAGG